GAACGCUGGCGGCGUGCUUAACACAUGCAAGUCGAACGAGNUCCAACCUUCGGGUGAAGACCGAGUGGCGAACGGGUGAGUAACACGUGGGGAACCUGCCCUUCUCUCUGGGAUAACUCCGGGAAACCGGAGCUAAUACCGGAUACUCCUUGCGGACCGCAUGGUCUGCUCGGGAAAGCUCCGGCGGAGAAGGAUGGCCCCGCGGCCCAUUAGCUUGUUGGUGGGGUAACGGCCCACCAAGGCGACGAUGGGUAGCCGAGCUGAGAGGCUGAUCGGCCACACUGGGACUGAGACACGGCCCAGACUCCUACGGGAGGCAGCAGUGGGGAAUCUUGCGCAAUGGGCGAAAGCCUGACGCAGCAACGCCGCGUGCGGGAUGAAGGCUCUCGGGUCGUAAACCGCUUUCAGCAGGGAUGAAAAUGACAGUACCUGCAGAAGAAGCCCCGGCUAAAUACGUGCCAGCAGCCGCGGUAAUACGUAUGGGGCAAGCGUUAUCCGGAUUCAUUGGGCGUAAAGCGCGCGUAGGCGGCUUGUUAAGUCAGGCGUGAAAUCCGGGGGCUCAACCCGCGGCUUGCGUCUGAAACUGGCAGGCUUGAGUCUGGUAGAGGAAAGUGGAAUUCCUGGUGUAGCGGUGAAAUGCGCAGAUAUCAGGAGGAACACCAGUGGCGAAGGCGGCUUUCUGGGCCACGACUGACGCUGAGGCGCGAAAGCUAGGGGAGCGAACAGGAUUAGAUACCCUGGUAGUCCUAGCCGUAAACGAUGGGCACUAGGUGUGGGGGGUCAUCGACUCCCUCCGUGCCGAAGCUAACGCAUUAAGUGCCCCGCCUGGGGAGUACGGCCGCAAGGCUAAAANUCA
RNAcentral lists this ribosomal RNA (856 nucleotides) under uncultured Actinomycetes bacterium. RNAcentral's name for it is "bacterial SSU rRNA". It matches the Rfam family "Bacterial small subunit ribosomal RNA", at positions 31 to 903 of the family's 1533-position model. The record is from RNAcentral. Lineage: Bacteria; Bacillati; Actinomycetota; Actinomycetes.